RNAcentral lists this transfer RNA (72 nucleotides) under Leucosporidium creatinivorum. RNAcentral describes it as "Leucosporidiella creatinivora tRNA". It matches the Rfam family "tRNA". From Rfam's summary of the family: Transfer RNA (tRNA) molecules are approximately 80 nucleotides in length. Their secondary structure includes four short double-helical elements and three loops (D, anti-codon, and T loops). Further hydrogen bonds mediate the characteristic L-shaped molecular structure. tRNAs have two regions of fundamental functional importance: the anti-codon, which is responsible for specific mRNA codon recognition, and the 3' end, to which the tRNAs corresponding amino acid is attached (by aminoacyl-tRNA synthetases). tRNAs cope with the degeneracy of the genetic code in two manners: having more than one tRNA (with a specific anti-codon) for a particular amino acid; and 'wobble' base-pairing, i.e. permitting non-standard base-pairing at the 3rd anti-codon position. The record is from Rfam by way of RNAcentral. Lineage: Eukaryota; Fungi; Basidiomycota; Microbotryomycetes; Leucosporidiales; Leucosporidiaceae.
GGUUUCUUAGUAUAUCGGUUAGUACUCGCGGUUCUGAUCCGCGCGAGGCCGGUUCGACUCCGGCAGAGACCU